UAACAGAGUAUUUGAAGCAAGAGCACCC
RNAcentral lists this non-coding RNA (28 nucleotides) under Mus musculus (house mouse). The record is from RNAcentral. Lineage: Eukaryota; Metazoa; Chordata; Mammalia; Rodentia; Muridae.